GUCGCGGGUGAGUGGUGUCGAGGCCUGUUGGGUCAGGGCGGUUCGCAGGUGCUGUCAGAGCUGGGCGGGGCAGCCGGGUCGUAGAGGCGGGCGCCAGUCGCGGUCGGUGGAGAGGGAUGAGGAUGUAGGAGGGACGGACGUGGCGGAAGCCGCGGGGACUGCGGGGGCGGAGUGCCUCUGGGGAGCCAGGGAGGCCUUUCCAGAGGCUCCUGGGGGAAGAAGAGGCGAAGCGAGAGUCCCCGGGGAAGCCCUACUCCACCCCCAGCCGGAGCCUGGGUUGUGCCUGCACGGACCAGAGCCCACAGUGCGAGUUGCUGUAGGCAACCAGCUAGGGUGGCCAACUUCUCCCGGUUGGCCCGAGAUGUUCUGGUUUUGGGACCACAGCGUCCCAGGCCUCCAGCCCACCACAGUGACCAUAUUGUGCGCCCCCUGCCCAUCUUCUCCCGCAGCUUCCCUAGAUUAGGCUUGGGAGGCAAGGGGAGGCCUCCUGACUUUUCUCACUGCCUUCGUUAAUAUAAAGAUGAAGGCACACUCCACAACUUCCUUCUGGCCAGGCCCAGACAUGUCUGUCCUUGUGAGAUAAAAGCUUCCAUGGGAGCCUUCCUUCCUAAUCAAGGCCUCUUUGACAGAUGGCACUGGUGAGGUGGAUUGAUGAUGAAUCUUCUGGCACACCUGGAGCAACUCCAGAACACAGUCGUGAGGAUAAUGGGAAUUUACUGAAACCCGUGGAAGGAAGCCUUUAAGGAAUGGAAAGAGUGGAUAAUAAAAUGCCUGACUGUUCUCCAAAAAUAAGGACCUUCAAAUAGGAGUGAUUGAAAUAAAUGACUACUUGCAUGUUAUGCUUUCAUUUGGGUGGAAUACUUCAUCAGAAUAAACUAUUGAUCUUGUGCUGUGUCAAA
Long non-coding RNA from Homo sapiens (human), 899 nucleotides. Ensembl annotates it as AMZ2 pseudogene 1. Its record names the gene AMZ2P1. Lineage: Eukaryota; Metazoa; Chordata; Mammalia; Primates; Hominidae. The record is from Ensembl.